GGCUCCGGCCCUAUCAGCCUGAAGCGCCCGAUUCCGUCUGAUCUCGGAAGCUAAGCAGGGUCGGCUCCUGUUAGGUCUUUGGAUGGGAGACCACUGGGAAUCCCGCUGCUCGAGGCU
This 117-nucleotide ribosomal RNA is filed under the name Bos taurus (domestic cattle). The record is from RNAcentral. Lineage: Eukaryota; Metazoa; Chordata; Mammalia; Artiodactyla; Bovidae.